CCUACGGGAGGCAGCAGUGGGGAAUAUUGCACAAUGGGGGAAACCCUGAUGCAGCGACGCCGCGUGAGUGAAGAAGUAUUUCGGUAUGUAAAGCUCUGUCAGCAGGGAAGAAAAUGACGGUACCUGACCAAGAAGCCCCGGCUAACUACGUGCCAGCAGCCGCGGUAAUACGUAGGGGGCAAGCGUUAUCCGGAUUUACUGGGUGUAAAGGGAGCGUAGACGGCGGCGCAAGUCCGGAGUGAAAGCCCACGGCCCAACCGUGGGACUGCUCUGGAAACUGUGCGGCUUGAGUGCGGGAGGGGCAG
RNAcentral lists this ribosomal RNA (305 nucleotides) under uncultured bacterium. RNAcentral's name for it is "bacterial SSU rRNA". It matches the Rfam family "Bacterial small subunit ribosomal RNA", at positions 338 to 660 of the family's 1533-position model. The record is from RNAcentral.